RNAcentral lists this long non-coding RNA (281 nucleotides) under Prunus persica (peach). RNAcentral's name for it is "long non-coding RNA (PPER_LNC000860)". Lineage: Eukaryota; Viridiplantae; Streptophyta; Magnoliopsida; Rosales; Rosaceae. The record is from RNAcentral.
AAAACUUCUCACGCUACUAGUAAAGAAGGUAACUGCACAACCAUGUAAUUUAUGUGCUAGCAUCGCCCACGACACUACAAAUUUUCCAUCGAAUCCUACUUUAGAAGAGGUGUAAGAGGUCAAUGCAUACAAUGGAAGAAGGCCCCCGAAUAAUCCUUACUCCAAUACAUACAACCCGGGGUGGAGACAACACCCAAACUUCUCGUGGAGAAAUUCACAUAAUACAAUGUGAUGCACAAAUUCAUCAAGGUCAUACCAAUAGCCUUAUCAAGGUCCUUCAC